CUGCUGCCUUCCGUAGGAGUUUGGUCCGUGUCUCAGUACCAAUGUGGGGGACCUUCCUCUCAGAACCCCUAUCCAUCGUCGGUUUGGUGGGCCGUUACCCCGCCAACUGCCUAAUGGAACGCAUGCCUAUCUAUCAGCGAUGAAUCUUUAGCAAAUAUCCCCAUGCGGGGCCCCUGCUUCAUGCGGUAUUAGUCCGACUUUCGCCGGGUUAUCCCCCUCCUGAUAGGUAAGUUGCAUACGCGUUACUCACCCGUGCGCCGGUCG
Molecule: ribosomal RNA, 264 nt
Filed under: uncultured bacterium
Lineage: Bacteria
Description: partial 16S ribosomal RNA
Source: RNAcentral